Long non-coding RNA from Trichosurus vulpecula (common brushtail), 826 nucleotides. RefSeq lists it as uncharacterized. The transcript is spliced from 3 exons. Lineage: Eukaryota; Metazoa; Chordata; Mammalia; Diprotodontia; Phalangeridae. The record is from RefSeq and is a predicted model, not a curated record.
GCAUGAGACAGUUCUUAUUAUGGUCUGUUUCUAGUGCAGUGGAGAAGAUGAACCGUACACAGGUGUCUCAGAGGCUUUUGGUCCAGUUUUGAAAAGGAAGAAUGAACAAAUUAAAGUUAAAGCCAUCACCACUAUCCCUGCCCACUAGGCUGAAUGGACCCCUACAUCUGCUAAUGGUGAAGGGUGUGGAAAUUCUGACCUUGUGAGUUUUGAAAGAUCAGGAGAGUGACCCACAGGAAUCCAGGAAUCAGAACCUAGACUAGGUUUUGCAGCCAGCCAACACUGAUAUCCCAAGGAGCAAAGGGCAACCUUCAUUAGUAAUCUUCUGAACUUAGGCCAGUAGAAGCUGAGAUGAAAACUCAUCCAAUGGUAGAGAAGAGAUAUUUCAAUCUCCCAAGGUCACCCCAUGGAACUUUGAGGGGCAGAUAUAACAACCUGGGCCUGAGACAGAAAUUCAGAACAUACCGAAGACAAUAAUUUAUGCUUAAUUUUCCAAACUGUCAAGAUAAUUUCAAAUGCGAUUAUCUGUCAAAUAUUCACUAUUCUUCCCACAAUUUUGUCAUCUACAAAUUUAAUAGGCCUACCAUCUGUCUUUAGUCAAAUCAUUGGUAACUGAUUCUCAACCUCAAUGGCAAACCACCAGAGACCUUGUUUCAACUUGACUAGGGUGGUAGUUUUUAAGACUGGAGUGCAAGGGACAAUGUUACAGAGCCUGAUGAUAGAUUAGAUAGAGAAAAUGAAGGGAAGGAAAAAGUAAAAUGUAAUGUUAUCUCUCAUUUCCUGCUUUUUCCUGGCAGUAAGGGAGUAAAGUGAAAAGGGUAUUUUA